UACGGGGGGGGCAAGCGUUGUUCGGAAUUACUGGGCGUAAAGCGUGCGCAGGCGGCGCGUUAAGUCAGGUGUGAAAGCCCCGAGCUUAACUUGGGAAUUGCGCUUGUGACUGGCGAGCUGGAGUGUGGCAGAGGGAGGUGGAAUUCCACGUGUAGCAGUGAAAUGCGUAGAGAUGUGGAGGAACACCGAUGGCGAAGGCAGCCUCCUGGGCCAGCACUGACGCUCAUGCACGAAAGCGUGGGGAGCAAACAGG
Molecule: ribosomal RNA, 253 nt
Filed under: uncultured bacterium
Lineage: Bacteria
Description: partial 16S ribosomal RNA
Rfam family: Bacterial small subunit ribosomal RNA
Source: RNAcentral